CUGUCUCUGUUUUAUGAGAGCAGUGUGGCCUUGUUGCCAUGUGGCUGCUGAAGAGUGCCGAGGUGUGUGAGCCCGCCAACAGCUGCUGCCCCCGAGAGAAAGGUGCGGGGUGUCAGAGACACAGGUUUCUCUCUCUCAUACAUACUCUAGGCUUUCCUCAGGUGAGGCCUCAGUUAGAGUACUUUAGGAGCAGGGUUAGAGCCAUGAGUUUCGUGGCUUUUGUGAAUUGAACAGAGGCAGGCGGCUGACAACCUGGCGUCGUUCUUGGUAGUUCUCACUCUCAGUUUGUUAGGCGAUUUUAUUUUCAACAGUCGACCAAAAUGAGCGUCACCGUGCCCACCGGGUGGGAAGUGUAACAGCGCAGUGGGGGAGGGACACGGGUAACCAUGCACUUUACCUAGACUCUCACCAAGGGGUGCAGGCUGGCCUGUUGACAUUAGGGUGUGGGUCGUGACUUCCCAUCUGUUGGAUGUGUAGCUAAGGUUCUGGGCAAGCGCCAUGUGUUUGCUGGCAGAUACUAAACUCAUCUGGCUGAAAGCUCCAGGGAUGACUGACUGCAUGGUCGCCUUCUUCUUGGAGUAACUUGGAUUGAUUUCAUGUGAGUCCAGAAUUCCCUUGGCUUACUUUAAAAAAAAAGUAUAAAACGAUUCCAGUUUGACUUAUUUCAGAAUUGGUAUAUUGAUGGAAAGGCCAGUUAUCUGUCACCUCUAAUUCUGGGAUCUAGUUUCAUUUAUCAGGUCCCUUCUUCAACUCUUAUUGCUCCAGAUCUCUAUUUCUUAUAAAUCGUGGUCACUUACACACCAGUCCUUGGUCACUGCUAGCUCAACAGAAUCCCGAUUUCUUGAGGUGCUCAGCAAGUCACCUUUCGUUGCCACAGGGUUUGGCACUCUCUACUUGGCAUCGCCCAUCUCCUCAAGUACACGCUGCUCUUGUUAAGGCUCUGUCACGUGGAGCUCAUCUGGUAUGUUUACAUUUUAGAUUUUGGCGGGGUUGGGUAUUCGAGACAGGGGUUCUCUGUGUAGCCUUGUCUGUCCUGGAACUAGAUUUUAGAUUCUUAAUCAUGGAGAAACUCGGAUAUUUUAGUUUUUAGAGUGUCCCCAUUUUUUUAAAAAUGAAUUUUGAUCCUUUCUCUAUCUUAUACCACAGAAUGGAUUUCAUGAUUUUUAUCCUUGCCACCUCCCCCAGAUGGUGUUCACCAGUGACUAGUGCUUCAUUCUAUGACAAGCAGUUCACAGGUACUAGGUAUUUAAGAAGGUAAACAAUUUAGAGUAUUUUUGCUAUGACUUUAUAGGAGAAAUGAGCUGUCAAAGAAAUAUGUACAAGUCAGGGAGCAUUUAGGAUAGAAAGUUUUUGGAGACAGGGUUUUGCCGUGUAGCCUAGACAGGCCUCCAACUCAGGAUCUUCUGUCUUGGCCUCCCAAGUGCUGCUUGUCACAGAUGUGCACCAUCUUGCCUGGUUCUGUCAGGAAACUGUUUUAUAGAUGGUCAUUUAGGUGAGUUUUCAGGAUGUAAGACUAACACAGACGUUUACACACAUUUUGUCGUCCUGAUAAAAACUUCAUUUUCCAUACUCAGCACUUUCCGAUUCUCGUGCUGCUUAUGGGAAUGGUUGUUUUGAAUCUGCUGUAUGUGUGCCUUUCAGAGAGUCACUAUCAUGGCAGGUGUUUGCUGGCACCAUUCUAAAUGCGGGAGUUCCUGGGAACCUCACUAAAUGAUUGCCUGAGUAUUAAACUGGGUAGCAGCUGUGGUAAUGCAAAGAAAAAUUGGUGGCUCUUUUGAAGGCGUGUGUGUUUGGUGAACUGAGUUCCUCGUGGUUUAGUGGAAAGGCAGCCAUGCUUUUACUUGCCUUACAGGUCAUUCAUCUCUGUUGUACAAAACACAGCUGAUUCUGCUCUGCUUCUCUGUUAAAGCAAAGCAGGUUACAUUCUUGGCAGAAGACUGGAGUUGUUUGUUUCUUACUGAGCGCCUGUGUAAGCAGCAGCUUCUGAUUAUCAGUGAGCAGGUUCUUCCCGUCUCUCAUCGCGCCUCUUAAUAUUCAUGAUCUUAAGACAGCAUCCAGAAGCAACAUGCGGAUGUUGACUCUUAGUGACUUGAAUGACUUUCAGCUGUGUUACUCUAUUAGGUAGCCAUCCGAAGGCUAUCAAAGAUUGGUGUGCGCAGAGAGGAGGGAAAACGACUCCCUUCCCGGUGUGAGCAAUCUUCCACGUGGAGGCCAUGGUCUAAGAAUCUAAACUUUUUAACCUGUAGUCUAAAGACAUGCCUUCCUUAUGCAUUCCUCAUCCUUGUUUCCCAAAAAGAUUGUUGUCAGGGUUGUGAGGCCAGGUUAAAUACCCAGAUCAGUUUCUCCUAGUUAUUGAAUUCCAGCCCGUGUGUAUUUGGUGUUCACUACUCUUCUUGGGAGUCAGUCUCAGAGAGAAACUGGGGUCAGCCACCCCGUCCUCCUGAUGCACAUGGGGUGUUGCCUUCGUGUACACUAAUGCUCUUAGAGCACCUUGUGGAAAGGGGCGGGGCAGGGUCUAUCAGUAAAACUUCGUCUGCACUUCUGUGAGCCGCAGAGUAUAAAGCUGUCACAUUUUCCCACACGAUUUACUUUUCAUCCUUAAUUAUUUUUGAAAAAAUCUUAAAAUACUUUAACAUUCCUUAAGUAGUGCCAAAUCUAGGGUAGAAGGUUUUUUUCCCCAUCCCCAAAAGGGCUCCAUCUUUUUGAUCUUUUUGUCAUUCUUAGAAAUUUAUGAUCAGUACAUUUGAAUAGUCUGGUCUCUAGACUUUGUCAGCACUGGAGUGGUCAGUUGUGAAUAUCAAAACCUACUACUGUUUUCCUUUGGAGACGUGGAAUUGCCAUUUUGGGCACAGAAGGUCCUGUUUAAGCAACAUGUGACAGAUCACCUAAACCAAAGCCUGCCGUAAGGGGCGCCGACUCCCAGUGGUCACCAUCACCUCCAUCGCUGGGACAGGGCCGUGUCAGUGCACAGUAAGUGCUGUCUGUAGCGUCUCUCUCUACCCGGGGUCUCUAGCGUGUCACUCUUCACAUUUCCCGAAUCCCCGAUGCUAAGAUUCUGUUUUGUGGUGUUUUACUGCUCGUGUGUGAUUGGUUAUUGUUUUUUUAAUGUUGUUUGUUUGUUUGAACCAAGUGGGACUAUAAAUGUAGAUAGAUGUGUUUUAGUACCAAGAUGUUCUUUUUUCAAAGCCCUAAAUUUCUGAUUUCAUUAUCAGUCUUCAGAUGUCUAUUUUAUUGCUGAGGAGCAGAGGACUUUAUUUCCACCUCCCUAUAAAGUGUGAGCACUGUGUUCAGCGAGCUGCAUUGUGUGCUUUUGCUGAGAACUUCUCUGUAAACACAGUUGCCUUGUUGAGUUUCGUUGUAAACUGACUCGCCAUGCGAUGCACUGUUGAUAGCUUCCUGAUGUGUGGUGGACAAGAGUGAUAAAAUAAAGCUUACAAAGAAAAG
This 3444-nucleotide long non-coding RNA is filed under the name Rattus norvegicus (Norway rat). RNAcentral describes it as "long non-coding RNA NONRATT008939". Lineage: Eukaryota; Metazoa; Chordata; Mammalia; Rodentia; Muridae. The record is from RNAcentral.